RNAcentral lists this ribosomal RNA (640 nucleotides) under Escherichia coli. RNAcentral describes it as "partial 23S ribosomal RNA". It matches the Rfam family "Bacterial large subunit ribosomal RNA", at positions 2159 to 2798 of the family's 2925-position model. The record is from RNAcentral. Lineage: Bacteria; Pseudomonadati; Pseudomonadota; Gammaproteobacteria; Enterobacterales; Enterobacteriaceae.
GAAGUGUGGACGCCAGUCUGCAUGGAGCCGACCUUGAAAUACCACCCUUUAAUGUUUGAUGUUCUAACGUUGACCCGUGAUCCGGGUUGCGGACAGUGUCUGGUGGGUAGUUUGACUGGGGCGGUCUCCUCCUAAAGAGUAACGGAGGAGCACGAAGGUUGGCUAAUCCUGGUCGGACAUCAGGAGGUUAGUGCAAUGGCAUAAGCCAGCUUGACUGCGAGCGUGACGGCGCGAGCAGGUGCGAAAGCAGGUCAUAGUGAUCCGGUGGUUCUGAAUGGAAGGGCCAUCGCUCAACGGAUAAAAGGUACUCCGGGGAUAACAGGCUGAUACCGCCCAAGAGUUCAUAUCGACGGCGGUGUUUGGCACCUCGAUGUCGGCUCAUCACAUCCUGGGGCUGAAGUAGGUCCCAAGGGUAUGGCUGUUCGCCAUUUAAAGUGGUACGCGAGCUGGGUUUAGAACGUCGUGAGACAGUUCGGUCCCUAUCUGCCGUGGGCGCUGGAGAACUGAGGGGGGCUGCUCCUAGUACGAGAGGACCGGAGUGGACGCAUCACUGGUGUUCGGGUUGUCAUGCCAAUGGCACUGCCCGGUAGCUAAAUGCGGAAGAGAUAAGUGCUGAAAGCAUCUAAGCACGAAACUUGCC